GCUCAAGAUGGUGGCGCCGUGUAGUGCACGGUGGGACGUAAAAUAAGACCUCAUGGUCUCCUCCGCCGCGCAACAUAAUUCGGCAACACCUUACAAAUACAUUCCGAAACCAACACGCCCGAAUAUUUAAAAAAGGCUCCUCACGGCUGGGGCAUGAGGUCUAAGAAGCGGAAGAGAGAAAGUGCACGCCCCAUUCCCGUACGGAUCGCCUAGCGUCUUCACUAUCCCUACGUGGCUCAGCGCGAACCCGGCCCUUUCCGCUUGGUGGCUUGGAGGGCAGCGGAGAGGGAGCGUAAUUUCGUGGGCGCAACUGUGAGUAACGCUGCGUCACACUCCCUUGGCAGAAGUUAUGCCCGCAGCCAAUGGAUACGGGAUCCUUGAAGUAAUCCAGGCAGACGGCACACACCGCUUCCUCCUGAAGGGUCUGCGAGGCGUUGGGAGCAGCGGCAUAGCCAGCCAUCUUAACGCGCUGCCGGUUCGUAUGGAUGCGUCCGCUCACAGCUGAGAAGCGGGGGACACACCUGCAGGCCUGCCUCCAAGCGACGCUGGUGAUCCAAAGCUGUCCCCAACCCUGCUCUGCCUACUCGGGCCCUCAGAGAAGCCUUGCGCCCCUCUCUCAGACUCUCCCCAGCUUUAAGCGCGAAAGCCCGAGGCCCGAACUCACAGCUGCCCUCGGAAGGCAGUGGGGGCGGAACCAGCUGCGGCCCCCACCUCCCUUUGAGACUCAGCGUGCAAACUAGGAUCCCUUCACGUUUCUCGCCUCCCUUCCGGUUUGCCUGACCUGGCGGCUUCCGCCUCAGAAGCCGGCACUCCUCACCCCGCCAGAGGUGACCGAAAAUGAUGUAGGCGCGUUAGCCCACACUCGGGAGGGGGCGGACUGGGCGGACGGAGGGCCACCUCUCUAUGGUUUCCCCCGGAAACCGGAGACACGACCCCCGGAAACCCCUGCAGCCCAUCCAGCCGCCCCAGACAGGAAAGAGGGCCUGGUCAGAAUGGGUGGAGGCGGCGAGAGAAUCAGUUUAAGCCACUGAGCGCUCUAAUCAGCCAGAUGCAGAGGGUCCAACAGCCGCUCAGGAAAGCCCGUCCCCAGAUGGACCCAAAAGGGUAGGGACUGCGGUGGCUGACCUCUGGUACUCUCGUGCACUUCCGGCCCCUCUGCCCAGAGGCCUUUGUGGUAGGGAGGAUUCUGUCUGCACUGCUGCAGCGCUCGAGGGCGUGGUCUGUAGCAACCUGGCGGGAUCGAGCUCACUGCGCAGUUGGGUGGCGGUGAGAUCAAAGAAUCUCGCGUGAAGACUUGGGUGCUUCCAACUUUCCUCAGACCAAUUCACCCCUUUCUUGCUUUCUGCCCUCAGCAGGCACCAGCUUCGCCUGUGGAUCUUUUUACCUCCAUUUAUAAUCCUUCCAUUCACCAUCCACUCACCAUGCAUGCAUGCAUCCACCCACCCAAAUAACCAUUCAUUUUUCAUCCAUCCCUCUAUCUCUCCAUCCAUCCAUCAUAGGCAUGCAUAACCCAUCCAUCCAUUUAUCCAUCCAUUUUCAUCUAUCCACGUUAUAGGAACAAAAAAAUGAGUAAGGCAUGAUUGUUCUUUCAAGGAGUAUAGAGUUAUACGCGAGCGGUCAUCCUUCACCCAACGUUCACAAGGUUUAUUUUUUUCUUUUUUUAACUUGACCCUCAGUAAGAAUUACAUUGCAAGUACUGAUCCAAUACAGACUUGCACAUAUAUGACAGAAACAAAAUUGGGGGAAAUUGUUCUUUUCCUUAGGGCGUUCAAGUCACUCCGAUAUGUUCUGUUCUACUUCAUUAAGAUGCUGUUCAACACCCGUUGGAGUGAUUGCACCCCUCAAUAAUUGGUCACUUUGGUUUGAGGAACUCCACCUGCCCUAAUGGAAACUUCAACGAGCCCUGGAUCCCUUCCUUUCCCUCUCUGGGCCCAAGCUUGGACUCUUAAGUCCCACAGAGCAAGAAUGGUAAACGUGCUAUUCAACAUUGUACACAUAGCUCCUCUGUCAUAGUGCUGAACAUACAGCAGGUACUCCCUACAUAUCUGCUGAGUAAAUAAAUGGAACCCAACAAAUUGCUACCAUCAAGUCCUGCUGGUUUUUAUCUCCUCAGAUCUAGGUCUUCUCUAUCUCUGUUCCUUCCAGCCUACAUCUGACCCCAUAGCUUCCAAAUGGACAAGAAGUUUCCUGAAGGGUCACUUGGCCUCAUUUUAAGUCCAUCUUUCAGCCACCAGUACCAUUCACCUGAGAUGAAAAUCUGACACUCAAGCCAAGUUGUUGCCUCUAUGUCUUUGGGCAUGUUGUUCACUCACCUAGAAGGCUCUCACCUCACUGCUUCACUUGGACAUAAUCCCUAAUUAACCUUCAGGUCUCUGCCCAGGCAUAAUCUCCUGAAGGAGACUCUUCCCUGAGGCUGGCACCAGGCUAUGUUCACAUCCCAACUCUGUCACUCUCUGUAUGACCUUGGAUUAGUUUCUUAACCUCCCUGUGCUUCAGUUUCCCUAUCUGCAACAUAAAGAUGAUAGUAGCACACACGUCAUGGGUUGUUGUGAAGUUGGAUUAAUUGUAAAAUGGUUUGAACAGUGCCCACUGCAGUUAUCUUUUUAUCCUCAUCACCUGCCACUAUAUUCCUUUCCUGUAGUAGAUAAGCCUUAGAAGAAACUCUCCCUUAUCUCCUAUUCUCUCCCACUUUGAGUAGGGUCAAGUGAUUUGAACGCUGAGGGGAAAAAUAAUACGCCAUCUGUCAUCCUAGGUUUUUUUUUUCUUCCUGGCCACAGUGCUCGGGAUCUUAGUUCCCUGGCCAGGGAUCGAACCCGUGCCCCCUGUAGUAGAAGCUCGGAGUCCUAACCACUGGACCGCCAGGGAAUUCCCUGUCAUGCUAGUGGUUCUGAGAGCCUUUUGUCUGGAGAGGGAGGGAGUUGAAACCCAGGUCUGACCUGCCUAAGGUGGGACACCUAUUGGUGGUGUUUGUUAGAAAACUAGCAAGUAAACUCCCAUAUACAAUCUGGGAACCAUCCUGGAGGUCAUGACUGACCCUGAGAAGCCACGGGGAAAAUAUGAGCCAUGAGAACUGGAACUGAGUUUCAAGGCUGGAAUACUUCCCCAUCUCUGAAUGCAGGUUCUCCCCUACACAUGGAAGCGGGUGGGCAAAGAGCUGGGGAGCAGACCAAGGGAAGAGGGGGCUGCUUAUAAAAGUUUCUGCUUGCCCCAGGGAGCAGAGCCCCGGUGGGAAGGAGAGCUGGAGAAAGAGCAAGGGGGAAUGGGUGGAAGAAGAUGGUGAGAGAAGGCUUGUGGGAUCAUCCUGAAGGAACUGUCGAGACUUAAAAGGAACAUAGAAUGGACACUCAUUAUCAAGAAUACCUAGGUGAAUAAAGACCUGUAAAGUUCAAUACCUAUUUUAUCUUCUUUUUCCUCUGAAUUACGUCUCCUCAAAUCCGAGUGACAGCUGGGAGAGGGGCUUUGUUUAGAUUCCCUCCGGCUGUGAGGCUUAGCUGUUAUUUAUGCGGGUAUACGGGAGGCUUGGUUUUAAGCCCUCUUGCAAAUUCCGCAUCCUCGGCAACGAGGCACACUCUUCUAUUCAUAGGAAGACUGCUAGCCUUCUCCUGAACUCAGUUGGGAGCUGUGGGCUGUUGGCGUAGACCAUUUGGCACACACAGGGCCUCAGGUGCCAUUGUCCCAGGGGCACUGGGAAAACAGCUGCAGCGGAGGGCACUCAGGAACGAGGGCUCAGCAAUGGUGGUGGCUGCCAGUGCGUUUUUCUCAGGACUCUGAUUUCAGAAAAUGUAUCCAUGGAAACUUACAUCAGCCUUUUCAGGCUGAAGAACCCCACACAACUGCAGAUGAUUAAAUUCCAGUUUAUGGUGAGGAGGCAGGUACUUGUCACACAGACACUGGGGACCACUUAUCAGAGAGGCAGUCUAGCACGGGCUUGGUCACACAGGGGUUGGCAAAUCUGGCCCUCGGUUUCUUUUUGUGAGGCCCAAGAGCAAGGAACAAUUUUUAAAUUUUAAAGGGGUUGUAAAAAUAGAAAACAAAGGUGAAUAUUAGGACAGAGACUGUAUAUGGCCACAAAAGUCCAAAAUAUCUACUAUCUGACACUUUACAGGAAAAGUUUACUGACCCCUGUGCUAGGAGGCUGGAAUGGAGGACCUCCAGAAUGCCUUCUGAUGUUACAAUUCUGGUUUGUUGCUCCCCUCUGGGUUCAAGACGCGGGCUCGUCCCCAGCAUCCUAGCCCUCUCUCCUCCCAGUCAGAUUCCAGAGGUCCUGGCUGGACAGAUGCUUGGUCCGUAUG
Molecule: long non-coding RNA, 4292 nt
Organism: Aethalodelphis obliquidens (Pacific white-sided dolphin)
Lineage: Eukaryota; Metazoa; Chordata; Mammalia; Artiodactyla; Delphinidae
Exons: 3
Source: RefSeq, a predicted model, not a curated record